AACGAACGCUGGCGGCAUGCCUAACACAUGCAAGUCGAACGAGACCUUCGGGUCUAGUGGCGCACGGGUGCGUAACGCGUGGGAACCUGCCCUUAGGUUCGGAAUAACUCCCCGAAAGGGGUGCUAAUACCGGAUAAUGUCUUCGGACCAAAGAUUUAUCGCCUUUGGAUGGGCCCGCGUUGGAUUAGCUAGUUGGUAGGGUAAAAGCCUACCAAGGCGACGAUCCAUAGCUGGUCUGAGAGGAUGAUCAGCCACACUGGGACUGAGACACGGCCCAGACUCCUACGGGAGGCAGCAGUGGGGAAUAUUGGACAAUGGGCGAAAGCCUGAUCCAGCAAUGCCGCGUGAGUGAUGAAGGCCUUAGGGUUGUAAAGCUCUUUUACCCGGGAUGAUAAUGACAGUACCGUGAGAAUAAGCCCCGGCUAACUCCGUG
RNAcentral lists this ribosomal RNA (433 nucleotides) under uncultured bacterium. RNAcentral's name for it is "partial 16S ribosomal RNA". It matches the Rfam family "Bacterial small subunit ribosomal RNA", at positions 29 to 507 of the family's 1533-position model. The record is from RNAcentral.